Long non-coding RNA from Danaus plexippus (monarch butterfly), 608 nucleotides. RefSeq lists it as uncharacterized. The record is from RefSeq and is a predicted model, not a curated record. Lineage: Eukaryota; Metazoa; Arthropoda; Insecta; Lepidoptera; Nymphalidae. The transcript is spliced from 2 exons.
UGGACGGAAGUAGUAAUUCUUCCAAAGAAAUACUAUUAUUUAGUGAGAAUUGUUUUGUGUGAUCAAUGAGUCCCGAGCCCUGUUACAUCUACGAAUAUUUACAUUAUUAUUUCAUACAAUAGACGACACCUGCGUCUGGACAGCGGCCAACUUGAGUAAUACUAUUGUUCGACAUAUUUUUGGCGUGUGAACAAGAUUUUUAAAUAGUUUUUUUUUAUUAUUGUGUCGUCACGUAUUAGAUGAGACAAUUAUCGGAUGUUGACCGUGCGUUGCCGUGUUUAUAUUGAAUACUUUCAAAGAACUAAAUGCAAUAACAACAUUUUGAAGAUUAAUUUCGACGGACCAUACGGAGCGUCAGGACAGAUACUUAAAUAUAAUAGGUAUCAUGUCCGGGGACGUCUGUCAUCUCGCCCGUGGCCGGCCGCGAGGCGUCGCUCGUGUCAGUUUAGCUGGAAGCGGCGCCAUUACAGCAAUUGCCGUAAGCAGGAUGAAGACGAUUUAGAUCUCCGCGUCUAUGAUUCACGAGACCUCGAGUUUUUGGCACAAGAGAAUUGAACAUAAACUGUUGAUUGUUCUCAAUAAUAAUAAAGAAUACGUCGCGACUUCUC